CACGCGGCGGCGCAUGUGUCAAAGUUGGCGCGAAAAGUGGGACGUGUUUCUCGUGUUCCUGCGGAGAAACAGCUGUCUCUAUUCCGCGGCGAAUCCCUUGGCAGCAGGAAAAUUAGGUACGGAUUCCUCUAGUCUCGAUCGGAGAUGCCCGUCACGAAUUAGCAUUUAUAUCACCGUGGUACCGUGCAACGAGGUGGAAAUGGAAUAUCCAGAACGCCGUGAUAGAGACUCGCCCGGUCUUCCUGCCACGAAUUAAUACGUCCGUGUCUCCUCCAGCUGGAAUCGAUCGUCUUGUAACAGAAACUCGAAGCGGAUUUCUACGGCGAACAGGGGCCCGAUCAACAAGCUGCUCGUUCCUUCGGCUUCUUCUCGACAAAUGGAUUGUACCUGUUUCCUCUGGACGCCUGUUUCAUCAACCACGGCGUCAGCGUUCCGUCUCAAUAAUCAUUGCGGUCUUUCACGUCAUCGCGAGCAAGCGUAAAAUCGUAAUCCAAUUUGUCUGCGGAGGCCGCAACGAGCGAACGAAGGCGACGCGGCCCGGUCGAAUGAAGUCGUCGCGCAUCCCUGGCCUGGGCCGCCCGUUUAAUCAUCAUAAAUUUCGCGAGGAAACCGCAAACCAUCGUUCUCCCUUACGUCCACUUUGUCCCGGGGCCCGCGAGGCCGCUUCAAACGUGUCACGACGUUCCACGCGUGUUUCUCGCCGUGGUUUCACUUUGGACAGCCAUCCACCGCUUCGUUUUUGUCGGGAUGCAGGUGUUAGAAGGCUUGGUUGCACGCAGAUCUUCGUUCCAAGCGGACGUUCUACAGGAAAUUUAUGACUCGAAUAAAACAACCGUAAAAUGGAAACUAAUCUGCAAAGUAGAACCUAAUGGAAGCGAUGCAGGUACUAGGAUGUAACGACGUUGUUCUGAAAUAAUGGCAAAACGUAAUCAUUUAAGUGGUUACACGCGAGCGUGACGGUUUUCUAACCAGACCAGAGGUUUUAAGACGUUAAUACGCCAUUGAGAAUGUAAAUCAACUGGGAUGUUCGCGAUUAUAUUUCAACGACACCGUCGAAAGAAUAUUAUCCUGUUUACCAGCAGGAUGGUGUACACUGUACAGCAAUCGUUGUGUGGUAAAUGUGACAAGGAACGAGCAGGUAGCAAGAACAAGCACUAAAAGUCUUACUUUAUUCCACGUGCGCUGGCAGUAAAGAUAAUUUCUGAAGCUGAUUGGAUCAUUACUUAUCCGCAGUUAGAAGUUGCUCGCACGGAAUCGAGUUCUAGCUAAAAAGAAGCCCACGCCUAAAUAGACAGGACUCUAUAAUAAUAACAACGAGGUGAAAUAUUCUAGUUUAUAGUUGCAAUUACAUUGAGAUAUUUUUCUUGCAAUUGCAUUGAAAUAUCCUUUUU
This 1391-nucleotide unclassified non-coding RNA is filed under the name Bombus terrestris (buff-tailed bumblebee). Its description in RNAcentral is "misc RNA ENSBTSG00005021056.1". Lineage: Eukaryota; Metazoa; Arthropoda; Insecta; Hymenoptera; Apidae. The record is from RNAcentral.